GAUUUCUGGUAUAGUGCGCUUGGCCCGCCACGGUUUCGUGUGUGAGUGCCGAUGCGUGCUUACCAUCUUUCUGGAGAACGUUCCUGCCCUUUACUGGGUUGGGUUCGCAAUCCAGAACUUUUACUUUGAAAAAAUUAGAGUGUUUAAAGCAGGCGUGAGCUAUGAAUACAUUAGCAUGGAAUGAAUAGGUAGGACUUGAGUUUUAUUUUGUUGGUUCCAGAACUUAAGUAAUGAUUGACAGGGAUUGUUGGGGGUGCCAGUAUUCAGCGGCCAGAGGUGAAAUUCUUGGAUUCGCUGAAGACUAACUUAAGCGAAAGCAUU
RNAcentral lists this ribosomal RNA (321 nucleotides) under uncultured Rhogostoma. Its description in RNAcentral is "SSU rRNA". The stretch from base 104 to 321 matches the Rfam family "Eukaryotic small subunit ribosomal RNA", at positions 735 to 955 of the family's 1831-position model. The record is from RNAcentral. Lineage: Eukaryota; Cercozoa; Thecofilosea; Cryomonadida.